RNAcentral lists this ribosomal RNA (274 nucleotides) under uncultured bacterium. RNAcentral's name for it is "partial 16S ribosomal RNA". It matches the Rfam family "Bacterial small subunit ribosomal RNA", at positions 523 to 796 of the family's 1533-position model. The record is from RNAcentral.
AUACAGGGGGUGCGAGCGUUAAUCGGAAUUACUGGGCGUAAAGAGUACGUAGGCGGUUGCUUAAGUCAGAUGUGAAAGCCCCGGGCUCAGCCUGGGAACUGCAUUUGAAACUGAGUGACUAGAGUUUAAGAGAGGGGAGUAGAAUUCCGGGUGUAGCGGUGAAAUGCGUAGAGAUCCGGAGGAAUACCAGUGGCGAAGGCGGCUCCCUGGCUUAAAACUGACGCUGAGGUACGAAAGCGUGGGUAGCAAACAGGAUUAGAAACCCGAGUAGUCC